RNAcentral lists this ribosomal RNA (253 nucleotides) under uncultured bacterium. RNAcentral describes it as "partial 16S ribosomal RNA". It matches the Rfam family "Bacterial small subunit ribosomal RNA", at positions 524 to 776 of the family's 1533-position model. The record is from RNAcentral.
UACGGAGGUGGCAAGCGUUGCUCGGAAUCACUGGGCGUAAAGGGCGCGUAGGCGGGGAGGUAAGUCGGGUGUGAAAUCCCUCGGCCCAACCGAGGAACUGCGCCCGAGACUGCUUCUCUUGAGUCCCGGAGAGGAAGGUGGAAUUCCCGGUGUAGCGGUGAAAUGCGUAGAUAUCGGAAGGAACACCAGUGGCGAAAGCGGCUUCCUGGUCCAGCACCGACGUUCAGGCACGAAAGCGUGGGGAGCAAACAGG